Molecule: unclassified non-coding RNA, 2523 nt
Filed under: Leishmania donovani
Lineage: Eukaryota; Euglenozoa; Kinetoplastea; Trypanosomatida; Trypanosomatidae
Description: gene:LdHU3.36.8030(CDS-product:kinetoplast-associ ated_protein_putative)
Source: RNAcentral
CUGGCACUCGCUUUAUUUUUCUUUGCGCCGAGUUGCCCCCUCUCUCUCCUCAUCAUUGCCGCCUGCUCGCCUCAUUCGUUCGCUUUGAAGUUCGCGCUGUCGACAUCCGCCCCACCUUUAGAAACACUCCACAUCAAGCAAAAUCACCACACGCAAGCGAAAAAAAAAAGAAAUCAACGAAAUGCUCCGCUUCGUUCCUCGGCGGCUCGCCAUCGGCGCGUAUUCCAUGUUCAUGAUUGAGCAGAAGAACAACCCGAAGCUCAAGGGCCUCUCCGUGAGCGACCGCGGGAAGAUGACGUCGAAGCUGUACAAAUCCCUGAGUGCGAGCGACAAGGCGGCCCUUGACAAACGCGCCGCUGCGUGGACCAGCUUCAGGCACAAGAGUCAGAAGACCAAGGUGAAGGGGGAAAAGAAGCCGCGCUCUACGCGCGCGCCGUCGGCGUACGCCAACUUUGUAAAGGCGAAUAUUGGCCGUUUCGAGAAGCUGCCGCACCUCGACCGCAUGAAGGCUGUGGCAAAGUUGUGGAAGCAGCACAACGCGCGCACCCCUAAAUAGGCCUGCAGAGCAUAGUGACCAAAGCUGAUCACGCGAGAACGCUUAUGCGGUUGAUGGAAGACGAUGCAGAGCAGCUGAGUGCAGGAGGAGAACAAGCUGUGAAAGGGGACGGAAGUGGUCUUGGCGAAUGCAGGGCAGGGGGGAGGAGGGGAAGGAGCUUGCCCACAGAACAUGCCCUGGACAACGCGCCUAACAACAGCAACAAGAAUGGCUACGCGCUUGCAAGGAUUGUGUCUUUGACCAUGACGGAGCGGCAGCUUUGAAGCAGAGCCGCACCGACACCUAGCCCGCGGUCGAGUAUCGUCACUGUUUCUUGCUCGUGCGUUUGUCUGAUCCCGGACGUUGCAUCCCCCUUAUCCCCUCCCCUCACCCCACCCUGUAUCGCACGUGGCUCGUCUUGCUGACAUCGACAUGUCUUGUUUCUCCACUCUCAAAGUUCGUAUUCCGUUUAUGCUUGUACUUGUGUCUACUCCACGUUUUUUUUUGUCUCUAUCUUUUUGCGUGCUUGUUACCGUUUCCCGGGCCAUAGAUGCAGUGUGCGCAUGUACGCGUACAUACACUGAAGACUCUCGCUGAGUUUGCCUUUUUUCCCCGUGUUGUUUGUCUUUUCUCUGUUGGAUGUGAGAGGAAGGUAUGCAUGCACGUUUCUUUCUUAGCAUGUGCGUGGACAGGAAGGGGCAGCGGAGCUAGUCUGUCUGUAUAUAUGUGUAUGCGUGCGCUUUUUUGCUGAGCCCUGCUCGACCGACUAGGUCAAUCCGUGUCAUGCGCAUCUAUACUUUCCACCUCGAUAGUUUCUUGAAAGGGAAAGAAGAGGGGGACGACUGUUAACGGACCAUGGGCACUCUUCGCACUCUCUCUCUCUCAUCCUCGCCUCUCUCUCCACGCACAAAGUUUUUCUUUUGAGCAUGUCGCCACGUUUUUUUUUUCUUGUUUCGUGUUGGCUGUCGAGUUUUCGACAGUGUCGUGGAAGCAGCGAAGGGGAUGAUGGGUGGGGUGGGUGGGGCGGGACAACGUGCGAGUGUGUCUUUCUAUACACACGACCCUGUGAAGCGGUAGUCCUCUUCUUGCUUCAUCAACAGCGUCUACGCCUUUUUUUUUUGUGCGAGAUCCACGUUCGCUGCGGGUGCGCGUGCCUCCGACUGUUUACUGCAGUUCGUCGCCGUAUCGCUGCAAACGUCAACAGGCACUUAAGGAGCUUGUAGAAUGAACUGCGCGCUCGAGAGGGGAAAGAGAGAGUUGCAGGCAGGAAGCGGGAGAGAAGACACCUCCAGGGCGCCCGUCCGAGUUGUGUUGUCCAUGUUUCAGCUCCCACUGACCCACUUCAGACACAAAGGACUGCUCUCUGCGGGCAAGUGCCAGCGUAUGUCUUGGUGGUGCGUUGCUUGCGCAGGGACCUUGUGACUGGAAAGCUCGUAAUUGCUGUACACGUCACUGACGACUGAGGAAGAGAGGGCGCAAGAGGAGGAAAGCAGAGAAGAGGUGGUUAGAAGAGGAACCAAACAAGAUGAGCUGCGAGGUGCAACAUGCGGACUGGCAUCUCGGGUGACGCAGAGGGUGGAGAAAGAGAGAGUAGCGCGCAUCCUUUCCCACAGCACGCAGAUGCGCAUGGCGCGCGAGAGAUUUUUCUCCACCCCAUUCAGCACAUUGAUUGUUAUUUUCCUCUCUGCGCGACCCUGUCGUGCUUCGCACGGUUUCGCUUCGUUCCUCUUUUUCUUUGGAUCGUGAUCCAACAGGGCUCAUGGUCCCCCUUUCGAGCGCUCGAGUAGUUCUUCCGUUGUCGCGGAAGCAGUUUUUUUUUUGUGUGAGCCUCUUUUUCUCUCUGCGUUCGCUUUCUCUGCAGCAUCUAAAGCUCUCCAUGGUUGUAGGACCGUCCGGCCUUUUCUGUCCCCUUCCCCCGCCCCUCACACCCCUGCCCUCUUUCUCCUCAGUCUAGACGCCAUCCUUAGAAUGAAGUCCCCCCCCCCUGG